RNAcentral lists this unclassified non-coding RNA (264 nucleotides) under uncultured fungus. RNAcentral describes it as "sequence contains ITS1". The record is from RNAcentral. Lineage: Eukaryota; Fungi.
GUAUUAUAACUUUUAUGGGCAUCAAAGACCCAGAUCAACAUUCUAUUACAUUCAUAGGAGUGUGUGUGAAGAACAUAGAACCCCAGAAAAGAGACAAGGAAAAGCUGGCACAAGGCACGGCAGUCCCCAAAUUCCAAGGUCUACAAAAAGGGUGCACAGGUGGAAAAAUAAAUGACAAGCGUGCACACUACCCUACAAGGGCCAGCAACAGCCUAUCAAAUGUUUUAUUCAAUAAUGAUCCUUCCGCAGGUUCACCUACGGAAA